AACCCGUGAUGAGGACCGUUUCUCUGAUAUCCCUUGAACCACUCCCACGCAGCCUUGAAAGUUUCAGUCGGACCCUGAACAAAGGUGGAAAUCUUAGCGCGAAGAU
Arabis alpina (gray rockcress) is the source of this 106-nucleotide non-coding RNA. NCBI's taxonomy places the organism in Eukaryota, Viridiplantae, Streptophyta, Magnoliopsida, Brassicales, Brassicaceae. The record is from Rfam.